RNAcentral lists this ribosomal RNA (1483 nucleotides) under metagenome. RNAcentral describes it as "bacterial LSU rRNA". It matches the Rfam family "Bacterial large subunit ribosomal RNA", at positions 1466 to 2925 of the family's 2925-position model. The record is from RNAcentral.
GGAGGGACGGAGAAGGCUAGGCCAGCUUGGCGUUGGUUGUCCAAGUUUAAGGUGGUAGGCUGAAAUCUUAGGUAAAUCCGGGGUUUCAAGGCCGAGAGCUGAUGACGAGUCGUCUUUUAGAUGACGAAGUGGUUGAUGCCAUGCUUCCAAGAAAAGCUUCUAAGCUUCAGGUAACCAGGAACCGUACCCCAAACCGACACAGGUGGUCGGGUAGAGAAUACCAAGGCGCCUGAGAGAACUCGGGUGAAGGAACUAGGCAAAAUGGCACCGUAACUUCGGGAGAAGGUGCGCCGGCUAGGGUGAAGGAUUUACUCCGUAAGCUCUGGCUGGUCGAAGAUACCAGGCCGCUGCGACUGUUUAUUAAAAACACAGCACUCUGCGAACACGAAAGUGGACGUAUAGGGUGUGACGCCUGCCCGGUGCCGGAAGGUUAAUUGAUGGGGUUAGCGCAAGCGAAGCUCUUGAUCGAAGCCCCGGUAAACGGCGGCCGUAACAAUAACGGUCCUAAGGUAGCGAGAUUCCUUGUCGGGUAAGUUCCGACCUGCACGAAUGGCGUAACGAUGGCGGCGCUGUCUCCACCCGAGACUCAGUGAAAUUGAAAUCGCUGUGAAGAUGCAGUGUAUCCGCGGCUAGACGGAAAGACCCCGUGAACCUUUACUGUAGCUUUGCACUGGACUUUGAGCCUGCUUGUGUAGGAUAGGUGGGAGGCUUUGAAGCGUGGACGCCAGUUCGCGUGGAGCCAUCCUUGAAAUACCACCCUGGCAUGCUUGAGGUUCUAACUCUGGUCCGUAAUCCGGAUCGAGGACAGUGUAUGGUGGGCAGUUUGAUUGGGGCGGUCUCCUCCUAAAGAGUAACGGAGGAGUACGAAGGUGCGCUCAGACCGGUCGGAAAUCGGUCGCAGAGUAUAAAGGCAAAAGCGCGCUUGACUGCGAGACAGACACGUCGAGCAGGUACGAAAGUAGGUCUUAGUGAUCCGGUGGUUCUGUAUGGAAGGGCCAUCGCUCAACGGAUAAAAGGUACUCCGGGGAUAACAGGCUGAUACCGCCCAAGAGUUCAUAUCGACGGCGGUGUUUGGCACCUCGAUGUCGGCUCAUCACAUCCUGGGGCUGAAGCCGGUCCCAAGGGUAUGGCUGUUCGCCAUUUAAAGUGGUACGCGAGCUGGGUUUAGAACGUCGCGAGACAGUUCGGUCCCUAUCUGCCGUGGACGUUUGAGAUUUGAGAGGGGCUGCUCCUAGUACGAGAGGACCGGAGUGGACGAACCUCUGGUGUUCCGGUUGUCACGCCAGUGGCAUUGCCGGGUAGCUAUGUUCGGAAAAGAUAACCGCUGAAAGCAUCUAAGCGGGAAACUUGCCUCAAGAUGAGAUCUCACUGGGAACUUGAUUCCCCUGAAGGGCCGUCGAAGACUACGACGUUGAUAGGCUGGGUGUGUAAGCGUUGUGAGGCGUUGAGCUAACCAGUACUAAUUGCCCGUGAGGCUUGACGG